Microtus oregoni (creeping vole) is the source of this 310-nucleotide long non-coding RNA. RefSeq lists it as uncharacterized. NCBI's taxonomy places the organism in Eukaryota, Metazoa, Chordata, Mammalia, Rodentia, Cricetidae. The transcript has 2 exons. The record is from RefSeq and is a predicted model, not a curated record.
AGGAGCUGGCUACCUCCAGUUCUCUUUCUUUGUCAUCUCUUCCUAGAGAAGGGACUGGAGAGGUGGAUUAAGACGAUUAAGAAUAUAUGUGCACCAAGAAGACAUGGACAAGAAGAUUAAUGGGAACUGUAUUUGCUCGGAGAAUGUGAGGAAGUAAAAUCUACAUUUGAAGCAGCCAGAACAUAAUGUGGAAACAACCUCAAACGUUCAUUAACAACAACAACAACAAAAAAAAUGGGCGAAUCACAGCAAAAGUAUACAAUUGUGUCUUAUGCAGCAUUAAAAGCAAAUAAGCCCCUGUUGCAUGCAA